Molecule: long non-coding RNA, 738 nt
Organism: Lontra canadensis (Northern American river otter)
Lineage: Eukaryota; Metazoa; Chordata; Mammalia; Carnivora; Mustelidae
Exons: 3
Source: RefSeq, a predicted model, not a curated record
AGAGGCACUUCAGAGACUGGAGGGACGGACCUGCAGGAGCCAGGGCUGCCCGCCGAGCUGCAAUUGCCGCUGCUGCCGCUGUCGCUGUCGCGCUGCCACCACCGCCGCCGCUGUCAGCGCCCCUCUGAAGAGUGACAGCUCCGCAAAAGCGGGAGGGAGCACCGAGCCCCGCGCCUCUACGAAACAGGUGCAUGCGCCGAUCUCCCGGUCAGUGGACCCAGCUCGCAAGCUUAUCCAACAAAAGUAUUAACAUAUACAUUAACAACGUCGAAAGUAGCCUACUUUAAGAGAAAAUAUGCAGAAGAAGAAGAUUUACAUCAAGAUUACCAUGGGUAUUUUCCAAAACACCUGAUAUUGCCUGAGGACAGGACUUGCAUUCUCAAACUUUCUCUGGAGAAGCUCAGGUUUCUUGAAGACCCAGAAACCUACUUAAGAAGGUCUGUGUUAAUUAACAAUUUGCUGAGGAAGAUACAUCUAGAGACGGAGAAAGAGAGCUAUGAAUACUUUAAAGAAGCUCCCUGUUAUAAGACUGCUUAUUCUGAUACAAGAAAACGGCUGAAGUUCAUGGUACAGGAAUGCUGUUCUCAGUCUCUUUAUUAUGAAGAGCUGCAUUCAUAUCAUAUUGUGCCUUAUGCUUCGGAGAAUGCCAUUUAUGGAAUGGGCUACACUAGCAGCCAUUUGGAGCAGAAUUCUCAGUUGCUUAUUUAUAAAAUGAAUUAAAGUAACCGUUAAGUUCAU